This 467-nucleotide long non-coding RNA is filed under the name Carica papaya (papaya). Its description in RNAcentral is "long non-coding RNA (CPAP_LNC011645)". Lineage: Eukaryota; Viridiplantae; Streptophyta; Magnoliopsida; Brassicales; Caricaceae. The record is from RNAcentral.
UUCGCCGUCGCCAUUGCUCAGUUUCCGUGAAAACCCAACUCAGAGAGAGAGAGAGAGAGGUGAGUGAGUGAAAGAGAAGAAGAGAUAAGAAGGGGGUUUUUUAGGUGAAAGCUUGAAGUCUGGGAGGGGAGUGAGUUAAUGCAAGGGUUUUACAGUUGUUCAUUUUUAUCUCAGUGGUAGCGUAGAGACACGCGCCGUUGUCUGGGCCAGCCGCUCCGUGAUUUGUGGCCCAGUUCUGGAUGCAGUAGGUUCGUCGUUGUGGCGUGUUUCGUCCUCUAAGGGGUAAACGGUGUCGUUUGUUGACACGUACCCGCUAGAUUUGAUUUUAUUGUUUUUCAAAAGUACAACCUGUAAUAUAGGGUGAAAGUAUGUUAGUGUUAAUUAAAAAAAUUGAGUUCAAUUUUUGAACUAGUUGGUUUAAUUAUAAUAAAAGAAUUAAUUUAUAGCAUAACGAAAUUACAGAGUCC